RNAcentral lists this long non-coding RNA (382 nucleotides) under Mytilus galloprovincialis (Mediterranean mussel). The record is from RNAcentral. Lineage: Eukaryota; Metazoa; Mollusca; Bivalvia; Mytilida; Mytilidae.
CUUUAUAAUACAAAAUUAACAUGUUUAAAAGAUACAAACUAUAAGUUCAUACAAAUGGCUAAAUGAUUCGGGUGUUUUCACAAGCAUCAUGACCUUACAAUUUUUUUCGGAAAGCAUUCCCUAUGUCUAGCCAUUAUGUCCAAGGGCGUCAUUUAGACGUUUCUGCACAGUGGCGUCUUUUAUAUGAAUACACACUUUUUCGACUAGGCAGUUAACAUAAUUCCGAGAAAUUUUCUUUCAAAAAAGGUUUGCUAAAUCAAAAUUACACUCAGAUUAAAAAAAAAUCACACACAUAAAGAAUAGACCUUUUAUAGACACCGGGAAAAAGGGGGAUGGGCUAGGGAUAAUUUCUUAUGGACAAAAGUUUUCACGCAAAUCACGC